This 303-nucleotide ribosomal RNA is filed under the name uncultured bacterium. RNAcentral's name for it is "partial 16S ribosomal RNA". It matches the Rfam family "Bacterial small subunit ribosomal RNA", at positions 507 to 809 of the family's 1533-position model. The record is from RNAcentral.
AGCAGCCGCCGCGGUAAAACGGAGGGUGCAAGCGUUAAUCGGAAUUACUGGGCGUAAAGCGCACGCAGGCGGUCUGACAAGUCAGAUGUGAAAUCCCCGGGCUUAACCUGGGAACUGCAUUUGAAACUGUCAGGCUGGAGUCUUGUAGAGGGGGGUGGAAUUCCAGGUGUAGCGGUGAAAUGCGUAGAGAUCUGGAGGAAUACCGGUGGCGAAGGCGGCCCCCUGGACAAAGACUGACGCUCAGGUGCGAAAGCGUGGGGAGCAAACAGGAUUAGAUACCCGUGUAGUCCCUGUCUCUUAUAA